GCAAGUCGAGGGGUAGAAGCAGCUUGCUGCUUUGAGACCGGCGCACGGGUUCGUAACGCGUAUACAAUCUACCUUUUACAGAGGGAUAGCCCAGAGAAAUUUGGAUUAAUACCUCAUAGUAUUUUCGAAUCGCAUGGUUUGAUUAUUAAAGUGCCAACGGUAAAAGAUGAGUAUGCGUCGGAUUAGCUAGAUGGUAAGGUAACGGCUUACCAAGGCAACGAUGGGUAGGGGUCCUGAGAGGGAGAGC
RNAcentral lists this ribosomal RNA (247 nucleotides) under uncultured bacterium. RNAcentral describes it as "partial 16S ribosomal RNA". It matches the Rfam family "Bacterial small subunit ribosomal RNA", at positions 57 to 305 of the family's 1533-position model. The record is from RNAcentral.